Molecule: non-coding RNA, 85 nt
Organism: Pholiota conissans
Lineage: Eukaryota; Fungi; Basidiomycota; Agaricomycetes; Agaricales; Strophariaceae
Source: the annotation of a GenBank genome assembly
GGCCUGAUGGUCUAGUAGUAUGAUUCCUUGUUAGGGUGUAUGCACACAAUCGAGGAGGUCCCGGGUUCAAUUCCCGGUUAGGCCC